AAAAACACAAUAAUGUAAGACUAUAAACAUGUUUAUAGGUCUUUUUUUCAUUUAGAAUACGUAUGGGGCUUGUAGAAAUUAACAAUGAUCACCAUAAGAACUACUAGUAGGAAAGAAACUGAGCCUCACGUAACCAAAAGACCUCCAUUAAAUUUAAACCGAUGGAAGAAGAAGAAGAUUUGGUGGUGGUGAUAUCAAGGAGCAUCGUGAUCCCCAGAAACGCCAAGAAAUCGACUUCCUCCAAGAAGAAGAUCCAUCUGCUUCCUUGGGAUCUCUCUCGCCUCCGCUUCGGUUAUCUUCAAAGAGGUCUCCUUUUCUCCAAACCUUAUCCAAAAAUCGACACAGUUCUCUCAAAGUUACAAACUUCACUCUCUCUAGCACUUGACCGUUUCUACCCUUUAGCUGGUCGUCUCGUAAAGGUACAGAACGACGACGACACUGUCUCCUUUUACAUCAACCCCGAUGGCUCAGGCGUGGAGUUCGUUCACGCCUCAGCUACAAACAUCGAGGUCAGUGAUGUCCUUAGAUUAUCUACUUCUCUCAGCUCCUUCUUCCCCGCUACUGGGGUCAAGAACUGUAACGGCGUCUCGAGAUCUCUCCUCAUGGUUCAAGUGACUGAGAUGAAAGAUGGGAUCUUUAUCGGUUUCGGUUACAACUCCACUGUAGCUGACGGAGAUUCGAUCUGGAAGUUUUUAAACGCGUGGUCUGAGAUCUGCUCCAAGGGUUUGGUUCCCGAACCUUGUCAGCGUCGUCUUCAGCUUAAAGGUUGGUUCUUUGAGGAGAUUGAGUACCCGAUUCGGAUCCCAGACCCGGAGGCAAAACCAGCUAGGGUCACAACAGCUUCGAGUGGUUUACAGGAGUUGAUGUUUCAUGUCACAAAGGAGAAUGCUUUGAAACUUGAAGCUAAAGCCAACGAUGAGAAAGUGUCGUCAUUACAAGCGGUGUUAGGACAUUUAUGGUGUUCGAUGGUUAAGCACAGUGGGAUGAGCAGAGAGGAAGAGACUCAUUGCAGGUUACCUAUAGACAUGAGGAGAAGGGUGGAUCCACCGUUGGAAGAAGACUGUUUUGGGAACGUGAGUCAGACCGGGAUAGCGAAAGUCACGGUUGGUGAGCUGAUGGAUAAUGGAUUAGGGUGGGCGGCUGGGAAGAUAAACGAUAUGGAGCGGUCGCAAACGCAUGAAAACGCGGAAGGGAAUGCGGAGAAAUGGGUGAGAGAUGUGAAGAUUCCGGUUUCGGUUGGUAGUAAAGAUUUGGUUGUGACGAGUUCUCACCGGUUUGAUGUGUAUGGAAAUGAUUUCGGUUGGGGUAAACCGGUAGCUGCGAGAGCUGGACCGCCGUAUGUGAGUGGGAGAAUGGUUGUGUUCCAAGGGGUUGAAGAAGGGAGUCUUGAUUUUCAGGCUUGCUUGCUGCCUCAAGUAGUGGAAAAGCUAUCAGAAGAUGUUGAUUUUAAAGAGUUUGUGAGCAUUGUAUUAUGAUGGUUUGAUGACUUGGUUCAACAAUUUGGAUCGAAUUUAAAAUGUGUGUGUGUGUGUGUGUGUGUUUCUUCCUUUUCUGAUUGUUUGUAAUUCAUCAACCUGGUCACAUGAAAUUCUCAGAUGGCCAUAAACAUUUUUAAAAUAAAUUUGAAUAAUUUUUCUUUAGUUUGGAAGUAGCAGCAGCUUAUGUAUACUAGAUCUUUAAAAUUUAUGAAAAACAAAUGUUUCACAGCAGCAUGUCCAUGGAUGAAAACUGAUAAUGGGCCUGCAAUUUAUGACCCAAUACGCAAUCAAACCGGCCCAAUGUAUUAGAACACGUGGUGAAUAUGUGUUUAGGUGAGAACGGGAUUUGGAUAUACACACUGUCACUCACUAGUCACUACUGUAAUCAUACUGCUCCAUCGAAUUACCUCCAGAAGCGAAGACGACAAACAAGACAUGGCAGAUGUUGUUGUGCUCUCUAAAAGCAUAGUUCGACCCGAUGGAUCGGAUUCGGAUCGGGUAAAGAUCCAUCUAACUCCAUGGGAUCUCUUCUUCCUUCGAUCAGACUACCCGCAAAGAGGUCUCCUCUUUCCAAAACCCGACCCGGAAACCGAUAUAAUCUCACAACUCAAAUCCUCUCUUUCGGUUGCGUUGAGUAUCUUCUACCCAUUCGCCGGCAGACUAGUCAAGACCGAGAACGAAAACGACGAAACGGCGUCGUUCCUCGUAGACUGCGAUGGUUCAGGCGUCAAGUUCAUCCACGCUUCAGCUAAAACCGUCUCGCUGAGUGACGUUCUAGAACCGGUCAACGGCAUCGUCCCCGAGUUCUUGAACCGUUUCUUCCCGGCUAACGGAGUCAAGAGCUGCGAAGGGGUCUCUGAGUCGUUGAUCGCGUUCCAAGUAACGGAGUUAAGAGACGGAGUCUUCAUCGCGUUCGGCUAUAACCACAUGGUCGCAGACGGAUCUUCCUUCUGGAGCUUCUUCAACACUUGGUCGGAGAUUUGCUCCACCGGAGUUGACCGGGAUAAAAAGUUCCCGCCUCUGCUUCUCCGCGGCUGGUUUCUCGACGGGAUCGAUCACCCGAUUCGAAUCCCGAUCUCGGAGACGGUGAUACCGUCUCCUCCGGUUGCUUCUUCGUCAUCGUUGCUACGAGAGAAGGUCUUUCGAUUCACGAGAAGAAACAUCUCCGAGCUCAAAUCGAAAGCAAACGGAGAAGUUAGCUUCGAUGAUCGGAGAAUCUCGUCGCUUCAGGCGGUUUCAGCGCAUAUGUGGCGAUCGAUUAUCAAAAACAGUGAUUUGAAUCCGGAGGAAGUGGUUUACUGCAAGUUACUGAUGGAUAUGAGACGGAGACUAAACCCUCCGCUUGAUAAAGAGUGUUUCGGAAACGUCGUCGGAUUCGCGACAGCGACGACAACGGCUGGAGAAAUGGUUAGUAAUGGGCUGGGUUGGGCCGCGUUGCAGAUAUUAUUACAAGAGAGAUAUGUGGAACCUUAACGACUCACCUGAUCACCACGAAGAAUCCGACGGUAGAUGGAAACGGGCUGGAGAUGUACCAAUCUCUAUGAGAUCAUCGACCACGUGUCUGUUGUCUGUUCCUCCGGUGACCCGAAAUUUUUUUCCGAAUCAAAUCAUGGAACAGGAAGUUCCAGGAAUAUCUGGGUCCGGUAUCACUAGAAACCAAUGUCUUGUUCGGUCGGAUCCUAGCGGGUCUGGUCGUCCGGAAAACCUAGAGCUGGAGAUAACACCGCCGGUAAAAAAGAGCCGACGUGGUCCUCGUUCCCGGAGCUCUCAGUAUAGAGGAGUUACUUUUUACCGACGAACCGGAAGAUGGGAGUCACAUAUUUGGUAACUUAAUUUUCUUAACCCUACGAUAUACCGAAUACUAUUAUUGCAUAUAUGGUACAUCCAUCAAAUCCAAGUUUCAUUUCAUUCGGGCCAAUACCUUAUUGUUAUUUUUAAAAUAUGUGUUGGAAUAUUAUGCAGGGACUGCGGGAAGCAAGUGUACUUAGGUAUGAUCAUGUAAUGUUGUUCAAACACAGAUCAAAUAUCCUAUUGAAACUAAGUUGUGUUGUGUCUGUCCAUUUUUAUAUGAUUUCUUCGACCAAAUAAAGGUUUUAUUAUCUCCUUAUAUUACUUUUUGUUACAUAUUCAGGUGGAUUUGACACAGCACAUGCCGCUGCUCGGUAUGUUUUACUCAUCCAAAUAUGAUCAAUUAGAACGAAUCUAAUAUUCCUUAUUUUGUAAUUUGCUGAUAUACAAAUUAAUUUGGGUGGGUAACUGUUUGGGACAGUGCCUACGAUAGAGCCGCAGUUAAGUUUAGAGGUGUAGAUGCAGAUAUAAAUUUCAAUAUUGAAGACUAUGUGGAGGAUUUGAAACAGGUAAAAUAUUUAUUAUUUGUAGGUUCAAGCAAUUGACUUAGAUUAUUACUCGAACAUAAAACAAAUUAAUAUUUGUUGCAGAUGAGCAGUUUGACAAAGGAAGAGUUCAUGCAUGUCAUUAGAAGGCAAAGCACUGGGUUUCCAAGAGGCAGCUCUAAAUAUAGAGGUGUCACUUUGCAUAAAUGUGGAAGAUGGGAAGCUCGAUUGGGUCAAUUUCUCAACAAAAAGUAAAACUACACAAAUAAUAUGGGGUCAUUUUUUUUUUUGAAAUGUUUUGUUUUUCUUAUGGAUAUUUAAAAUUUGGUACUGUAUUGUUUGCUUUUUAUUUAUUUUCAGGUACGUUUAUUUGGGUCUCUUUGAUACCGAGAUGGAAGCUGCAAGGUACUGUUUUAUUAUUGUUCAAUGUCUCAUCAUCACGUUUCCAAAACAAUAGUAUUUAUGUUUGGGCAAAAGAAAAGCAAUAGUAUCUGUUUUGUUUAAUUUCUUCUUCGUGCUUUUUGAAUUAUAGAGCAUACGAUAAAGCAGCAAUAAAGUCUAAUGGAAAAGAUGCAGUUACCAAUUUUGACCCUAAAGUAUAUGAGGAACAGCAUAAUAGCCCAGGUAACUUGAUUUUACGUUUCCGCCUAUAAAAACUACAUAUACAUUUUUUUUACUCCAGUCACCAAAUUUUACUCACGGUAACCACAUUUUAUCACGGUAACAAUCAUCAGAGAAGCAGUGGGAUGAUCAUAACCUUGAUCUAAGUCUAGUUGAAUCAAACUCGGAAGAGUUUGGAACCAAAUCUGAGGUAAGUUAAGUUGUUCAUGUUUUUAUAAAUUUAAUGUGUGAAAAAAAGAUAAAUAGUGAUUAUGGUCUAAACUGAUACAUUUUAAAGACUGCGAGCAUGAGAAAUGGAUUUAGAGACGAGGAGAGACUAUUAGGGAGCCAUCUCUCCCUAGCGAUGACGACAACAGCGACUGUCGGAUCAGAGAAGCCAUUGGACGGUGGAGGAAAGCGAGUGGGAAUGGCGGCAUCAUCAGGAUUCUCUCCUCGCUUUCCUCCUUGGAACCACCACACUCCUCGCACCUUCCACUUCUUUCGUCCCUGAUUCACCAUCAUCAUCACAGUCACUCAUACAACAAAUGUUUUGGAGAAACUUUCCAGGAGCUAUUUUUCGGCUGUGUGGUGUGUAUGUAUUACAUAUAUGUUCUUGUGUCCAUGUAAGACUUUUCUUUCUGUAAUUUAAUCAUACAACAAAUGUUCGUGGCCCACAUCCUACAUGGUAUCCCCUGUACAUAUUGGAGACUUCUGUUUCAUCAUUUACCAUCUCAUCACAUGCGCUUAGUAACUUAGUUAGGUUUCGAGUCCGGAUCUAGAGAAUACCAUGCACACAACCCAACCGCAAUUUCAGAAAAUAUUAUACCUAAAUGGGUUUUAACGAAAAAAUGUACAUCCGAAUAAAUUUAGGUUUUCUGAGUGAAGUUGGGUUGGGUUGGGCUGGGUUGUUGACAUGGGCCACCCCUAAUAUCGGGACCAAUUCUUUUUUUUUUUUUGAGGGUCAAACAUUGAUAAUGAGAUCCACGUAUUUUUGUCCAAUAUUAUUCAACAAAAAGUAACAAAUAUGUGAUUUAAAUUUUCUAGCUAAUGGAGUGAAUAUGUUUUAUAAUUGUGAAUCACUGGACAUACAUGUGUCUUGCACUAGCUAGUUUUAUAGUUGUUUGAUAAUUCGACAUGUGUAUUGCACUAAUAGUAUAUAUUUACUAGUAUCACUAUCAAGUUGAUAAACUAAAGAUAAAGUGAUAGCGACAUACGAACCAAUCAUACAGAUUAGCCACCAGUGUUUAAAGUUUAUUGUUAUUACAGUAACAAAGCGCCAGAAAAUAAAAAAAAUAUGAAAAGCAACUCUGAGAGCCACAUAAAAGUCACAAAAACACAAUAAUGUAAGACUAUAAACAUGUUUAUAGGUCUUUUUUUCAUUUAGAAUACGUAUGGGGCUUGUAGAAAUUAACAAUGAUCACCAUAAGAACUACUAGUAGGAAAGAAACUGAGCCUCACGUAACCAAAAGACCUCCAUUAAAUUUAAACCGAUGGAAGAAGAAGAAGAUUUGGUGGUGGUGAUAUCAAGGAGCAUCGUGAUCCCCAGAAACGCCAAGAAAUCGACUUCCUCCAAGAAGAAGAUCCAUCUGCUUCCUUGGGAUCUCUCUCGCCUCCGCUUCGGUUAUCUUCAAAGAGGUCUCCUUUUCUCCAAACCUUAUCCAAAAAUCGACACAGUUCUCUCAAAGUUACAAACUUCACUCUCUCUAGCACUUGACCGUUUCUACCCUUUAGCUGGUCGUCUCGUAAAGGUACAGAACGACGACGACACUGUCUCCUUUUACAUCAACCCCGAUGGCUCAGGCGUGGAGUUCGUUCACGCCUCAGCUACAAACAUCGAGGUCAGUGAUGUCCUUAGAUUAUCUACUUCUCUCAGC
RNAcentral lists this long non-coding RNA (6285 nucleotides) under Brassica napus (rape). Its description in RNAcentral is "long non-coding RNA (BNAP_LNC006020)". Lineage: Eukaryota; Viridiplantae; Streptophyta; Magnoliopsida; Brassicales; Brassicaceae. The record is from RNAcentral.